GGGGUUUGUGCACUUGUGGUGGCCCUACUCCUUUGCAAAGCCAUUGCCGAGGGGUUUCACCCGACCACACACAAGUGUAAGUCCAACCAAACUCAUCUUGGCCCAUAAAUGGAGACACCCAAGACUAGGACCUCCUGCUAUUCUCACCACAUGACUCAUCACUCUCUAAUUGAGCAUGGAUGGUCAUUAGAAUGUCCAGGUAAG
Molecule: long non-coding RNA, 204 nt
Filed under: Vigna radiata
Lineage: Eukaryota; Viridiplantae; Streptophyta; Magnoliopsida; Fabales; Fabaceae
Description: long non-coding RNA (VRAD_LNC011090)
Source: RNAcentral